RNAcentral lists this ribosomal RNA (497 nucleotides) under uncultured bacterium. RNAcentral describes it as "partial 16S ribosomal RNA". It matches the Rfam family "Bacterial small subunit ribosomal RNA", at positions 28 to 507 of the family's 1533-position model. The record is from RNAcentral.
GAUGAACGCUGGCGGCGUGCCUAAUACAUGCAAGUCGAGCGAACAGACGAGGAGCUUGCUCCUCUGACGUUAGCGGCGGACGGGUGAGUAACACGUGGAUAACCUACCUAUAAGACUGGGAUAACUUCGGGAAACCGGAGCUAAUACCGGAUAAUAUAUUGAACCGCAUGGUUCAAUAGUGAAAGACGGCUUUUCUUUCACUUAUCGCUGCAUACGCGCCGCAUGAGCUAGUUGGUAAGGUAACGGCUUACCAAGGCGACGAUGCGUAGCCGACCUGAGGGGGUGAUCGGCCACACUGGAACUGGGACACGGUCCCGAACCCUACGGGAGGCAGCAGUAGGGAAUCUUCCGCAAUGGGCGAAAGCCUGACGGAGCAACGCGGCGUGAGUGAUGAAAGUCUUCGGAUCGUAAAACUCUGUUAUUAGGGAAGAACAAAUGUGUAAGUAACUAUGCACGUCUUGACGGUACCUAAUCAGAAAGCCACGGCUAACUACGUG